GCGAGAAAAAAAACGGAGUCGACGUAUAGUAAAGAGACGGACUCGAGAGCGAUGUGAAAGGGAGAAAAGAAAAAAAGAAAGUACCAAUUCGGAGCUAGUCCGACGGCCACAUUUGCGGCGAACCUAGGGUAUUGAUUAGAAAAGUUUGUGAGACUUAUGGGCUUGGGUUUGGAAAUUGUAUUGAAGAGUGAAGUUUGGCUUGAAGAGUUGUUUCUCGCGUAUGGAAUUGCUUGGAAAAAAGAAUGGACUUGAAUUAUUGAAAUUGUUUUAAGCAUGUAGUUUUGUAAUUGGAAAUGGUUUGUAACUUGUAAUUGAGAUUGGAUUAUGAAUUGUAACUUAAUGGAGAUAUUGUAAAUUAAAAUGUGAAUAUGGAUUAGUUUGUAAAGAUCGAGUAUUGUAAUGGAAUGGAAAUUCCUUGAAUUGCAUUGAUUGUAAAGUUUUGUUUGAAUAAAUGAGAUUGGCUAGUUAUGGAAUUAAGUUGGGCUUUGAAAAUUUGGAUUGUAAUGAAUGUUUGAAUGUUAUGGAAAGUUUAUUUAUGGA
Long non-coding RNA from Lathyrus oleraceus (garden pea), 540 nucleotides. RefSeq lists it as uncharacterized. NCBI's taxonomy places the organism in Eukaryota, Viridiplantae, Streptophyta, Magnoliopsida, Fabales, Fabaceae. The record is from RefSeq and is a predicted model, not a curated record. The transcript is spliced from 2 exons.